RNAcentral lists this long non-coding RNA (755 nucleotides) under Rattus norvegicus (Norway rat). Its description in RNAcentral is "long non-coding RNA NONRATT004365". Lineage: Eukaryota; Metazoa; Chordata; Mammalia; Rodentia; Muridae. The record is from RNAcentral.
ACCCUUUUCCUGCCUAGCUGUCCAGAGGAGGAACUGAGAGAACUUCCCAAGCCCACUGCUCAAAUAUGGCCUUCCUUAGUCAUCCACAUAUGCCUGUCUAGUGGAGACAUCAUGCUGUGGACUCCAGGACAGAGAGGUAAGGCCAGAUGGACGCGUGGCAGUCAUGGAGUUGGCUGACCUUGCCAUAGGUACAGAGUGAAUGCUUUGGGAUAGAAAAGGUCAGUCAUGUGCCCCGAAUACAGGAGGAAACGGGCUGUGUGCUGUGGGGACAGAGGAGCAGGCCUGGCCAGCACACCUGCUCGUCCCCCGCUCUGGCCCCACCCUGCUCUGACGCCAUCCACUGCAGUGCCAAGGAGGCAGACCCCCAGGAGCUGCAGGGAGGCUUCCUGUAGGCUUGUUCACAAGCCCGAUGUGCUGCCCCAGGGCAUCUCCACAGCCGAGUCCCACAAACAUGGCUCCAUGCCGGAGAGUCUAGGCUGUCAUACUGAAAGGAUUUUUCUAAAACAUGCUUCGAGUCUGUUCUUUACUUUAAAUGCAGAAAGAGAAACACACCAGAGAAGAACAGGGCAAGUGUCACCACACGAGGUGGCUUUUGUUGCCUCUGACGUCGGGUGACUUUUACAUCAAUUGAGCAGCAGUCACUUAAUUCUGCCACAGCUACCUCAUUCCAUCACAACUAGCUAAGGAGCUGGGCUGGACCCUGUACUGCUCUUUAUAGCCUGUACGUGAAAAAAAAAUCUUAUUUUCAAAUAGUU